This 22-nucleotide microRNA is filed under the name Oryza sativa (Asian cultivated rice). RNAcentral describes it as "osa-miR2118j". Lineage: Eukaryota; Viridiplantae; Streptophyta; Magnoliopsida; Poales; Poaceae. RNAcentral also lists the same sequence under 1 other name. The record is from miRBase by way of RNAcentral.
UUCCUGAUGCCUCCCAUUCCUA